GGUCCCUUCAGCAGCACAUAACACUAAAAUUGGAAUGAUGCAGAGAUUAUUGGCCUCUGCACAAAAGUGACACACAAAUUUAUGAAGUAUUCCAUAUUUGG
RNAcentral lists this small nuclear RNA (101 nucleotides) under Urocitellus parryii (Arctic ground squirrel). The record is from RNAcentral. Lineage: Eukaryota; Metazoa; Chordata; Mammalia; Rodentia; Sciuridae.